RNAcentral lists this ribosomal RNA (741 nucleotides) under Triticum aestivum (bread wheat). RNAcentral describes it as "partial small subunit ribosomal RNA". Lineage: Eukaryota; Viridiplantae; Streptophyta; Magnoliopsida; Poales; Poaceae. The record is from RNAcentral.
AUGGUCACCUGCCUCUCUGAUCUUAUAAGUGACCAUUCCCUAGAUUUCCUGGGUCUGCAAGAGACCAUGGAAAAAGAUUUCUCUCCCAAAUGCUUGAGGAGAAUCGACCCCUUCAACUUGUUCAUCUGGAACUGGAUUCCUUCUGAAGGUAAAUCCGGUGGUAUUCUGUGUGGAGUUAGACAAGACACUCUGGAGGUGGUCUCCUGUGACAAGGGCAAGUAUAUCUUGUAGCUGGUGGUCUUGGAUAGGAAGAAGAAUACCAAUUGGGGGUUGUUGGUGGUGUAUGGCUCUGCUCAUGAAGAACAUAAGGAGGAGUUCUUGCUUGAGCUUGCUACUAUGUGUAAUAACAUGCAUGUCCCUUAUAUAGUGGGUGGGGACUUUAAUAUUCUCAGGCACCCUGGGAAGAAAAAUAAAAAGAUGGCAAGCCAUAAGUCCACAGACCUAUUUAAUUCUAUUAUCAACACCCUUGGUCUUAGAGAGAUUCAUAUCAGUGGGGGUAAGUACACUUGGACGAACAACCAAGCUCACCCUACUUUGGAGAAGAUAGACCGUAUCCUGAUGUGUGAGGAGUGGGAGGACUUGCUUCCCCUGGUUUCUGUUAGGAAGCUGGUUUGUGAGAUCUCUGAUUAUAACCCUUUGUUGAUUAAUUCUGGGGAAGAGGGUCGAGAGGCUCCCAAACCGCGUGAAUUUCGUUUUGAUCUUUCUUGGAUCAAGGAUGAACUUCCUGCCUUUGGUCCAUAA